CAGUCGAGCGGAUGAGAGGAGCUUGCUCCUCGAUUCAGCGGCGGACGGGUGAGUAAUGCCUAGGAAUCUGCCUAGUAGUGGGGGACAACGUUUCGAAAGGAACGCUAAUACCGCAUACGUCCUACGGGAGAAAGUGGGGGAUCUUCGGACCUCACGCUAUUAGAUGAGCCUAGGUCGGAUUAGCUAGUUGGUAGGGUAAAGGCCUACCAAGGCGACGAUCCGUAACUGGUCUGAGAGGAUGAUCAGUCACACUGGAACUGAGACACGGUCCAGACUCCUACGGGAGGCAGCAGUGGGGAAUAUUGGACAAUGGGCGAAAGCCUGAUCCAGCCAUGCCGCGUGUGUGAAGAAGGCCUUCGGGUCGUAAAGCACUUUAAGUUGGGAGGAAGGGCUCAUAGCGAAUACCUGUGAGUUUUGACGUUACCAACAGAAUAAGCACCGGCUAACUUCGUGCCAGCAGCCGCGGUAAUACGAAGGGUGCAAGCGUUAAUCGGAAUUACUGGGCGUAAAGCGCGCGUACGUGGCUUGGUAAGUUGGAUGUGAAAUCCCCGGGCUCAACCUGGGAACUGGAUCCCAAACUGGCUGGCUAAAAGGGUGUAGAAGGGACAGGGAAAUUCCCAUGGAUCCG
This 628-nucleotide ribosomal RNA is filed under the name Pseudomonas oryzihabitans. Its description in RNAcentral is "bacterial SSU rRNA". It matches the Rfam family "Bacterial small subunit ribosomal RNA", at positions 59 to 681 of the family's 1533-position model. The record is from RNAcentral. Lineage: Bacteria; Pseudomonadati; Pseudomonadota; Gammaproteobacteria; Pseudomonadales; Pseudomonadaceae.